CAGCAGCCGCGGUAAGACGGAGGAUGCAAGCGUUAUCCGGAAUUAUUGGGCGUAAAGCGUCCGUAGGCGGUUUAGAAAGUCAGUUGUUAAAGCUCACAGCUCAACUGUGGAUGGGCAAUGGAAACUACUAGACUAGAGGGUGGUAGGGGUAGAGGGAAUUCCUAGUGUAGCGGUGAAAUGCGUAGAUAUUAGGAAGAACACCAGUGGCGAAGGCGCUCUACUGGGCCAUUACUGACGCUGAUGGACGAAAGCUAGGGGAGCGAAAGGGAUUAGAUACCCCUGUAGUCCUAGCUGUAAACGAUGGACACUAGGUGUUGCGCGUAUCGACCCGUGCAGUAUCGAAGCAAACGCGUUAAGUGUCCCGCCUGGGGAGUACGCACGCAAGUGUGAAACUCAAAGGAAUUGACGGGGGCCCGCACAAGCGGUGGAGUAUGUGGUUUAAUUCGAUGCAACGCGAAGAACCUUACCAGGGAUUGACAUCCCGCGAAGACUCUUGAAAGAGAGUUGUGCCUUCGGGAACGUAGAGACAGGUGGUGCAUGGCUGUCGUCAGCUCGUGUCGUGAGAUGUUGGGUUAAGUCCCGCAACGAGCGCAACCCUCGUCCUUAGUUGCCAUCAUUAAGUUGGGCACUUUAAGGAGACUGCCGGUGACAAACCGGAGGAAGGUGGGGAUGACGUCAAGUCAUCAUGCCCCUUACAUCCUGGGCUACACACGUACUACAAUGCAACGGACAAAGGGCAGCCAGCUAGCGAUAGUGAGCUAAUCCCAUAAACCGUUGCUCAGUUCAAAUUGCAGGCUGCAACUCGCCUGCAUGAAGGCGGAAUCGCUAGUAAUCGCAGGUCAGCAUACUGCGGUGAAUACGUUCCCGGGCCUUGUACACACCGCCCGUCACACCAUGGAAGUUGGCCACGCCCGAAGUCGUUACCCCAACCCUUGGGAGGAGGACGCCGAAGGC
This 954-nucleotide ribosomal RNA is filed under the name uncultured cyanobacterium QSSC5-B. RNAcentral describes it as "bacterial SSU rRNA". It matches the Rfam family "Bacterial small subunit ribosomal RNA", at positions 509 to 1463 of the family's 1533-position model. Lineage: Bacteria; Bacillati; Cyanobacteriota. The record is from RNAcentral.